AUGGAGGAUCACUUAGCUCAUCCGUUGAUGAAGAGUACAGCCAUCUGCAAGAACGGAUGCAAAUUGCAGGACUUGGUGAACAUCAACACCUUGAACACCCAUUGCAGUCUCAAG
Molecule: non-coding RNA, 114 nt
Organism: Acanthosepion pharaonis
Lineage: Eukaryota; Metazoa; Mollusca; Cephalopoda; Sepiida; Sepiidae
Source: the annotation of a GenBank genome assembly